RNAcentral lists this non-coding RNA (29 nucleotides) under Cricetulus griseus (Chinese hamster). Lineage: Eukaryota; Metazoa; Chordata; Mammalia; Rodentia; Cricetidae. The record is from RNAcentral.
ACAUGGCUCGCACCAAGCAGACGGCCCGC